AGCGAACGCUGGCGGCAUGCUUAACACAUGCAAGUCGCACGAGGGGUUUCGGCCUCUAGUGGCGGACGGGUGAGUAACACGUAGGUAUCUAUCCACGGGUGGGGGAUAACGGCGGGAAACUGCUGCUAAUACCGCAUGACACCUGAGGGUCAAAGGCGCGAGUCGCCUGUGGAGGAGCCUUCGUCCGAUUAGCUAGUUGGUAGGGUAAUGGCCUACCAAGGCGACGAUCGGUAGCNGGUCUGAGAGGAUGAUCAGCCACAUUGGGACUGAGACACGGCCCAAACUCCUACGGGAGGCAGCAGUGGGGAAUAUUGGACAAUGGGCGCAAGCCUGAUCCAGCAAUGCCGCGUGGAUGAAGAAGGUCUUCGGAUUGUAAAGUCCUUUCGGCGGGGACGAUGAUGACGGUACCCGCAGAAGAA
Molecule: ribosomal RNA, 419 nt
Filed under: uncultured bacterium
Lineage: Bacteria
Description: bacterial SSU rRNA
Rfam family: Bacterial small subunit ribosomal RNA
Source: RNAcentral